This 253-nucleotide ribosomal RNA is filed under the name uncultured bacterium. RNAcentral describes it as "partial 16S ribosomal RNA". It matches the Rfam family "Bacterial small subunit ribosomal RNA", at positions 524 to 776 of the family's 1533-position model. The record is from RNAcentral.
UACGGAGGGUGCGAGCGUUAAUCGGAAUUACUGGGCGUAAAGCGUGCGUAGGUGGUUGAUUAAGUUAUCUGUGAAAUCCCUGGGCUUAACCUGGGCAGGUCAGAUGAUACUGAUUGACUCGAGUAUGGGAGAGGGUAGUGGAAUUUCCGGUGUAGCGGUGAAAUGCGUAGAGAUCGGAAGGAACACCAGUGGCGAAGGCGGCUACCUGGCCUAAUACUGACACUGAGGCACGAAAGCGUGGGGAGCAAACAGG